UUGCCCUACGGGAGGCAGCAGUGAGGAAUAUUGGUCAAUGGUCGGGAGACUGAACCAGCCAAGCCGCGUGAGGGAUGAAGGUACAGAGUAUCGUAAACCUCUUUUGUCAGGGAACAAAGGCGGGGACGUGUCCCCGGAUGAGUGUACCUGAAGAAAAAGCAUCGGCUAACUCCGUGCCAGCAGCCGCGGUAAUACGGAGGAUGCGAGCGUUAUCCGGAUUUAUUGGGUUUAAAGGGGGCGCAGGCGGGCUGGUUAGUCAGCGGUCAA
RNAcentral lists this ribosomal RNA (267 nucleotides) under uncultured bacterium. RNAcentral describes it as "partial 16S ribosomal RNA". It matches the Rfam family "Bacterial small subunit ribosomal RNA", at positions 334 to 598 of the family's 1533-position model. The record is from RNAcentral.